This 73-nucleotide transfer RNA is filed under the name Sus scrofa (pig). It matches the Rfam family "tRNA". From Rfam's summary of the family: Transfer RNA (tRNA) molecules are approximately 80 nucleotides in length. Their secondary structure includes four short double-helical elements and three loops (D, anti-codon, and T loops). Further hydrogen bonds mediate the characteristic L-shaped molecular structure. tRNAs have two regions of fundamental functional importance: the anti-codon, which is responsible for specific mRNA codon recognition, and the 3' end, to which the tRNAs corresponding amino acid is attached (by aminoacyl-tRNA synthetases). tRNAs cope with the degeneracy of the genetic code in two manners: having more than one tRNA (with a specific anti-codon) for a particular amino acid; and 'wobble' base-pairing, i.e. permitting non-standard base-pairing at the 3rd anti-codon position. The record is from Rfam by way of RNAcentral. Lineage: Eukaryota; Metazoa; Chordata; Mammalia; Artiodactyla; Suidae.
UCCCUGGUGGCCUAGUGGUUAAGGACCUGGCAUUGUCACUGCUGUGGUGCAGGUUCCAUCGCUGCCCGGGGAA